AGGAGAGGGAGGACUCAUAUUGGGAGACCAUUGAAGACGUGGCCAAUAAACUGUUCCUUAUACGUUGUCUACCUGAAGGACUCCUCUCAUUAGAAGUAACUCUACCUGGUUUUUCAUCACCAACAAUCAUUAUGCCACCCAGAGGAGACCUUCAUCUUGAUGUCAGAUUAAACUAUCCAUUCUUAUGUCUUUUUGUUGAUAAUGUUCUCGAGGUUAUUUUU
This is a long non-coding RNA of Amphimedon queenslandica, 221 nucleotides long. RefSeq lists it as uncharacterized. NCBI's taxonomy places the organism in Eukaryota, Metazoa, Porifera, Demospongiae, Haplosclerida, Niphatidae. The record is from RefSeq and is a predicted model, not a curated record. The transcript is spliced from 3 exons.